RNAcentral lists this ribosomal RNA (297 nucleotides) under uncultured bacterium. RNAcentral describes it as "partial 16S ribosomal RNA". It matches the Rfam family "Bacterial small subunit ribosomal RNA", at positions 333 to 628 of the family's 1533-position model. The record is from RNAcentral.
UUGUGCCUACGGGGGGCAGCAGUGAGGAAUAUUGGUCAAUGGCCGAGAGGCUGAACCAGCCAAGUCGCGUGAGGGAUGACGGCCCUACGGGUUGUAAACCUCUUUUGUCGGGGAGCAAAGAGAGUCACGUGUGGCUCAUUGAGAGUACCCGAAGAAAAAGCAUCGGCUAACUCCGUGCCCGCAGCCGCGGUAAUACGGAGGAUGCGCGCGUUAUCCGGCUUUAUUGGGUUUAUAGGGUGCGCAGGCUGAGUUGCAAGUCAGUGGUCAAAUUGCGGGGCUCAACCCCGUACUGCCUUU